UAACGUUCGGACACCACUACACGGAGU
RNAcentral lists this non-coding RNA (27 nucleotides) under Cricetulus griseus (Chinese hamster). The record is from RNAcentral. Lineage: Eukaryota; Metazoa; Chordata; Mammalia; Rodentia; Cricetidae.